UGGAUGUUCUCUCUUUAUGCAUAAGAUGUAAUUAGUAAAAAUCCUGUGAACAUAAUCUAAGUAUUAAAUUUUUUCUUUCUUUAAAGAGAUUUCCUUAGAGUAUUAGUGCAUAAUAGGUCAAAAAUAUAAAUUUUUUUUCAGGUAUAUUGUAUUAUAAUGAGAUAAAUAAAUGAUUUUCUCGAAUCCCUGUGGGUGAAUGUUGCUGGUAGCUGGAAUGAGAGAAUAAUAGUAAAUCAGCAAGCAUUCCAGUGUUUUAAAGAGGGUAAGCCUUGCAAAGCAUAUUCAUAUCAGUAUUGUAGUAGGAACAAGAGAAGUUUGUUUGUUUGUUUGCUUUUUUACGAGAACGC
RNAcentral lists this long non-coding RNA (347 nucleotides) under Bos taurus (domestic cattle). RNAcentral's name for it is "long non-coding RNA NONBTAT023926". The record is from RNAcentral. Lineage: Eukaryota; Metazoa; Chordata; Mammalia; Artiodactyla; Bovidae.